This 253-nucleotide ribosomal RNA is filed under the name uncultured bacterium. RNAcentral describes it as "partial 16S ribosomal RNA". It matches the Rfam family "Bacterial small subunit ribosomal RNA", at positions 524 to 776 of the family's 1533-position model. The record is from RNAcentral. RNAcentral also lists the same sequence under 2 other names.
UACGAAGGGUGCAAGCGUUAAUCGGAAUUACUGGGCGUAAAGCGUGCGUAGAUGGUUCAUUAAGUCGGAUGUGAAAGCCCCGGGCUCAACCUGGGAACUGCAUCCGAUACUGGUGGACUAGAGUGCGGUAGAGGAUGGCGGAAUUCCCGGUGUAGCGGUGAAAUGCGUAGAGAUCGGGAGGAACAUCCGUGGCGAAGGCGGCCAUCUGGACCAGCACUGACGUUGAGGCACGAAAGCGUGGGGAGCAAACAGG